This 1864-nucleotide long non-coding RNA is filed under the name Physcomitrium patens. RNAcentral's name for it is "long non-coding RNA (PPAT_LNC012694)". Lineage: Eukaryota; Viridiplantae; Streptophyta; Bryopsida; Funariales; Funariaceae. The record is from RNAcentral.
CUGUAGGUAUUGUCCAAAAUCAAGGACACCAUGCUUGUCUAGCUUGUCUAACAUGAUGCGUAAGAAUCCAUCCUCUUUAUCAAACUCACAGAAAGUAAAAAAAUAAACUUAACUCUGAAUAUUUUGUGCCUUGAUUCACACUGGAGGUGAUUUUCCUCUGGCAUCUGGUUCCAAAGGCAUGUGGGUUUAUGAUGUUCACAGAAGUUGCUUUCAGGUCAGCCCUUCAUUUGUCAGAAUACUGGAGGAAGCAGACAUAGAGAGAGAGAGAGCGAGAGAGAGAGAAUGUUGUCUGUCUAUACAUGAACUGCUUCAAAUGCUUGUGCAAAGUAGAACAUGGAUGUGAAUUGCGUGACCAAAUCCAUGAGAAUCAUUAAACAAGGAGCUUGGACAACCAGAAGUGCAGUGAAGUGAAGUGAGGUUCAUAUCCUCUGGUGACCAUAAACGUAAUGAAUCGCUCAAUCAAUCACAAUAAUACUGUAAUUAGUACCACUAUAAUUGCAAUCAUAUUGUUUGCAAGUUUCAUAUUGAUGUCAACCAUUACCUGAGUGUCUCUGAAACUGUGGGACAAGAAACGGAACUCUAUCCAGUUUACUAAAAUUAAACAAUCAGUGACCAGACAGGCCCAGAUAUAGCUGGGCAAGUGGAAACACUGAUCUUUAUGACCGCCCCUGCUGCCAAUUUUCAUAACUUUGCUAUGGCUGGAUGUAAACCUCAGCACUAAUCAUGCAUUCAGUACACAAAACAAGGCUUAAUAGGGCAAAGAUCCAUAAUUCUAUCUAGUGCAUUCUUCUAAGAAUUCAUGAGAGCGAGUUCUGCACUCGGCAAAUCAGGUCGGGCCCGGUAUUUAUUGUUCGCCAGACCGACACGUCUAAUCGGGACCAUUAAAUGGAUAACCUCAAUAACAUCCGUAUGAAUACGAAACAUGAUCAUCUCUGGCAAUGACUACUGCCACCUUCCCUGCUAAUUCGCGACGAACGCUCAAAGGACUGGACACAGAAAUAAGGACUGAGGGAAGGACUCGCCCACUUGAACCAGCUGCCCAAUGUAAUGGUGCUGCUGGGAGGUUGAUUACUACCAUCUGAGGGCACCCGGAAUCACGUCGAAGAAUGAGUGUCUACGAAACGGAGAUCAACAGAUGGGUAUAAAGUGAUCUGGCAAAAAGGCAAGUUGCACCAUGGGCACGCUUCAGUGGGUAAAAUACACUUGGAUUGAACUACAUAUGUUAUAUUAUAUUUUGGAGCUCUCACACUCUCAAUCGGAUGGAGCUUCCAUGUAUGCUGAUUCGGUUGAUUCACAGAAUCGGUUGAUGGAUCAGUUAUGGGAUGGAAGGGCUGGAGGACCUCGACCUAGAAAAGAGGUUCAGAAUAAGGCACACGACACUGCAUGUACACGAGGCAAUCCUACGAGAAGUGUUAACAGGAGAGGGGACAUAAGAGCACCGUGCAUUCAAUCAGAAGUACGAGGAGUUGAGCGGCACGUCAUUUUACCUGGGGGAUGAACAUCAGACACCUUCUGAUCUUCGUCCUACUGAUCCACCAACUUCGAUCGCAAUCCUUGAUCCCUUGGCACACGAAUGUUGCAGCCCCGAAAACUUUUCUUUCCAAGGUUUUCUUGUCGAACUUUCAUACCGCCCAUCAAUGCUUACAAGCUCAAAUACCAUCUAGAUGCCAUCACCGUCUGAGCCUUGAGAAUUUCGCAGAAUCUAAUAAUGUGCGGUAUGUUCGCACGUUAGGUGUAAAUAGCUUGACGGCAUUCAACUGCUAUCGUUACCAACAAUCCCAUCACCGACUCGUAAUGCUAAUAAAGCAAGAAUUGCCACAAGCAUUAUAGAUCAAGAGAUGGGCCAGAACGGAGAAUGUACAAG